GAAAUGUGAUACGUAAUGUGAAUUGCAUAAUUCAGUGAAUCAUCGAAUCUUUGAACGCACCUUGCACCUUUUGGUUUAUUCCGAAAGGUACACCUGUUUGAAUGUCACAAAACUCCCCUCGGCUCUAAUGCUUUCUAAAAGGAUUAGAGACGGAUUCUGAGUGUUGGCGUGAAUACGCCUCGCUUUAAAUUGAUCAGCACUUUUGGAUGGUUGAAGUUUAGUUCGAAAGACGUACUUGAUGUUGUAUUUAUAUGUCAUUGAGGCAGUCUUUGGUCGUUCCGACUAUCUGCUAAUACGAAAACUUGAAGAAUAGCUUCCUAACCCUAUUUAUUUAACCUUUAGACUUCAAAUCAGGUGGGACUACCCGCUGAACUUAA
RNAcentral lists this unclassified non-coding RNA (377 nucleotides) under uncultured Melampsora. RNAcentral's name for it is "sequence contains ITS1". The stretch from base 1 to 107 matches the Rfam family "5.8S ribosomal RNA", at positions 50 to 154 of the family's 154-position model. The record is from RNAcentral. Lineage: Eukaryota; Fungi; Basidiomycota; Pucciniomycetes; Pucciniales; Melampsoraceae.